UAGGGAAUCUUCCACAAUGGGUGCAAACCUGAUGGAGCAAUGCCGCGUGAGUGAAGAAGGUCUUCGGAUCGUAAAGCUCUGUUGUUAGAGAAGAACACGUGCUAAGUAACUACUAGCGCCUUGACGGUAUCUAACCAGAAAGUCACGGCUAACUACGUGCCAGCAGCCGCGGUAAUACGUAGGUGACAAGCGUUGUCCGGAUUUAUUGGGCGUAAAGGGAGCGCAGGCGGUCUGUUUAGUCUAAUGUGAAAGCCCACGGCUUAACCGUGGAACGGCAUUGGAAACUGACAGACUUGAAUGUAGAAGAGGAAAAUGGAAUUCCAAGUGUAGCGGUGGAAUGCGUAGAUAUUUGGAGGAACACCAGUGGCGAAGGCGAUUUUCUGGUCUAACAUUGACGCUGAGGCUCGAAAGCGUGGGGAGCGAACAGGAUUAGAUACCCUGGUAGUCCACGCCGUAAACGAUGAGUGCUAAGUGUUGGGGGCUUUCCGGCCCUCGGUGCUGGAGCUAACGUAUUAAGCACUCCGCCUGGGGAUUACGACCGCAAGGUU
Molecule: ribosomal RNA, 548 nt
Filed under: uncultured bacterium
Lineage: Bacteria
Description: bacterial SSU rRNA
Rfam family: Bacterial small subunit ribosomal RNA
Source: RNAcentral